RNAcentral lists this ribosomal RNA (425 nucleotides) under uncultured bacterium. RNAcentral's name for it is "partial 16S ribosomal RNA". It matches the Rfam family "Bacterial small subunit ribosomal RNA", at positions 354 to 796 of the family's 1533-position model. The record is from RNAcentral.
GUGGGGAAUAUUGGACAAUGGGCGAAAGCCUGAUCCAGCCAUGCCGCGUGAGUGAUGAAGGCCUUAGGGUUGUAAAGCUUUUUCAGUAGGGAAGAUAAUGACGGUACCUACAGAAGAAGCCCCGGCUAACUUCGUGCCAGCAGCCGCGGUAAUACGAAGGGGGCUAGCGUUGUUCGGAUUUACUGGGCGUAAAGCGCACGUAGGCGGAUUGGUCAGUUAGAGGUGAAAUCCUGGAGCUCAACUCCAGAACUGCCUUUAAUACUGCCAGUCUAGAGUCCAGAAGAGGUGAGUGGAACUCCUAGUGUAGAGGUGGAAUUCGUAGAUAUUAGGAAGAACACCAGUGGCGAAGGCGGCUCACUGGUCUGGUACUGACGCUGAGGUGCGAAAGCGUGGGGAGCAAACAGGAUUAGAUACCCGGGUAGUCC